This 1237-nucleotide ribosomal RNA is filed under the name Dolosigranulum pigrum. Its description in RNAcentral is "bacterial SSU rRNA". It matches the Rfam family "Bacterial small subunit ribosomal RNA", at positions 210 to 1441 of the family's 1533-position model. Lineage: Bacteria; Bacillati; Bacillota; Bacilli; Lactobacillales; Carnobacteriaceae. The record is from RNAcentral.
UGCUACCACUCAUGGAUAGCCUCGCGGCGUAUUAGCUAGUUGGUAAGGUAAUGGCUUACCAAGGCAGUGAUACGUAGCCGACUUGAGAGGGUGAUCGGCCACACUGGGACUGAGACACGGCCCAGACUCCUACGGGAGGCAGCAGUAGGGAAUCUUCCACAAUGGGUGCAAACCUGAUGGAGCAAUGCCGCGUGAGUGAAGAAGGUCUUCGGAUCGUAAAGCUCUGUUGUUAGAGAAGAACACGUGCUAGGUAACUACUAGCGCCUUGACGGUAUCUAACCAGAAAGUCACGGCUAACUACGUGCCAGCAGCCGCGGUAAUACGUAGGUGACAAGCGUUGUCCGGAUUUAUUGGGCGUAAAGGGAGCGCAGGCGGUCUGUUUAGUCUAAUGUGAAAGCCCACGGCUUAACCGUGGAACGGCAUUGGAAACUGACAGACUUGAAUGUAGAAGAGGAAAAUGGAAUUCCAAGUGUAGCGGUGGAAUGCGUAGAUAUUUGGAGGAACACCAGUGGCGAAGGCGAUUUUCUGGUCUAACAUUGACGCUGAGGCUCGAAAGCGUGGGGAGCGAACAGGAUUAGAUACCCUGGUAGUCCACGCCGUAAACGAUGAGUGCUAAGUGUUGGGGGCUUUCCGGCCCUCGGUGCUGGAGCUAACGUAUUAAGCACUCCGCCUGGGGAUUACGACCGCAAGGUUGAAACUCAAAAGAAUUGACGGGGACCCGCACAAGCGGUGGAGCAUGUGGUUUAAUUCGAAGCAACGCGAAGAACCUUACCAGCUCUUGACAUCUUCUGACAACUCUAGAGAUAGAGCGUUCCCUUCGGGGACAGAAUGACAGGUGGUGCAUGGUUGUCGUCAGCUCGUGUCGUGAGAUGUUGGGUUAAGUCCCGUAACGAGCGCAACCCUUGUUGUUAGUUGCCAGCAUUAAGUUGGGCACUUUAACGAGACUGCCGGUGAUAAACCGGAGGAAGGCGGGGAUGACGUCAAAUCAUCAUGCCCCUUAUGAGCUGGGCUACACACGUGCUACAAUGGAUGGUACAACGAGCAGCGAUCCCGCAAGGGCUAGCUAAUCUUUCAAAGCCAUUCUCAGUUCGGAUUGCACUCUGCAACUCGAGUGCAUGAAGUCGGAAUCGCUAGUAAUCGCGAAUCAGAAUGUCGCGGUGAAUCCGUUCCCGGGUCUUGUACACACCGCCCGUCACACCACGAGAGUUUGAAACACCCGAAGUCGGCCGGCCAACCC